GAUGAACGCUGGCGGCGCGCCUAACACAUGCAAGUCGAACGGUUAAAGCACCUUUUAGGUGUGUAUAAAGUGGCGAACGGCUGAGUAACACGUGGGCAACCUGCCCUCCUCUUGGGGAUAGCCUCGGGAAACCGAGGAUAAUACCCGAUACCUUCAAUGUGGCCGCAUGACGACAUUGAGAAAGCUUUUGCGGAGAAGGAUGGGCCCGCGGCCUGUUAGCUUGUUGGUGGGGUAGAGGCCUACCAAGGCAAUGAUGGGUAGCAUGGGUUGAGAGACCGACCAGCCAGAUUGGGACUGAGACACGGCCCAGACUCCUACGGGAGGCAGCAGUGGGGAAUACUAGCACAAUGGGCGAAAGCCGUGAUGCAGCGACGCCGCGUGCGGGACGAAGGCCUUCGGGUUGUAAACCGCUUUCAGCAGGGACGAGGCGAAAGUGACGGUACCUGCAGAAGAAGCCCCGGCUAACUACGUGCCAGCAGCCGCGGUAAUACGUAGGGGGCAAGCGUUAUCCGGAUUCAUUGGGCGUAAAGCGCUCGUAGGCGGUCUGUUAGGUCGGGAGUUAAAUCCGGAGGCUCAACCUCCGCCCGCUCCCGAUACCGGCAGACUUGAGUUUGGUAGGGGAAGGUAGAAUUCCUAGUGUAGCGGUGGAAUGCGCAGAUAUUAGGAAGAACACCAGUGGCGAAGGCGGCCUUCUGGGCCAUAACUGACGCUGAGGAGCGAAAGCUAGGGGAGCAAACAGGAUUAGAUACCCUGGUAGUCCUAGCUGUAAACGAUGGACACUAGGUGUGGGAGAAUACGUCUUCCGUGCCGCAGCUAACGCAUUAAGUGUCCCGCCUGGGGAGUACGGCCGCAAGGCUAAAACUCAAAGGAAUUGACGGGGACCCGCACAAGCAGCGGAGCAUGUGGUUUAAUUCGAAGCAACGCGAAGAACCUUACCAGGGCUUGACAUGUAGGUGAAGCGGCGG
This 965-nucleotide ribosomal RNA is filed under the name Lancefieldella rimae. RNAcentral's name for it is "bacterial SSU rRNA". It matches the Rfam family "Bacterial small subunit ribosomal RNA", at positions 28 to 1003 of the family's 1533-position model. Lineage: Bacteria; Bacillati; Actinomycetota; Coriobacteriia; Coriobacteriales; Atopobiaceae. The record is from RNAcentral.